AGAGACCGGCGCACGGGUGCGUAACGCGUAUGCAAUCUACCUUUCACAGAGGGAUAGCCCAGAGAAAUUUGGAUUAAUACCUCAUAGUAUAGCAGUUUCGCAUGAAACCACUAUUAAAGUCACAACGGUGAAAGAUGAGCAUGCGUCCCAUUAGCUAGUUGGUAAGGUAACGGCUUACCAAGGCUACGAUGGGUAGGGGUCCUGAGAGGGAGAUCCCCCACACUGGUACUGAGACACGGACCAGACUCCUACGGGAGGCAGCAGUGAGGAAUAUUGGACAAUGGGCGCAAGCCUGAUCCAGCCAUGCCGCGUGCAGGAUGACGGUCCUAUGGAUUGUAAACUGCUUUUGCACAGGAAGAAACAACGCUACGUGUAGCGUCUUGACGGUACUGUGAGAAUAAGGAUCGGCUAACUCCGUGCCAGCAGCCGCGGUAAUACGGAGGAUCCAAGCGUUAUCCGGAAUCAUUGGGUUUAAAGGGUCCGUAGGCGGUUUAGUAAGUCAGUGGUGAAAGCCCAUCGCUCAACGGUGGAACGGCCAUUGAUACUGCUAGACUUGAAUUAUUAGGAAGUAACUAGAAUAUGUAGUGUAGCGGUGAAAUGCUUAGAGAUUACAUGGAAUACCAAUUGCGAAGGCAGGUUACUACUAAUGGAUUGACGCUGAUGGACGAAAGCGUGGGUAGCGAACAGGAUUAGAUACCCUGGUAGUCCACGCCGUAAACGAUGGAUACUAGCUGUUGGGAGCGAUCUCAGUGGCUA
Molecule: ribosomal RNA, 756 nt
Filed under: Flavobacterium sp.
Lineage: Bacteria; Pseudomonadati; Bacteroidota; Flavobacteriia; Flavobacteriales; Flavobacteriaceae
Description: bacterial SSU rRNA
Rfam family: Bacterial small subunit ribosomal RNA
Source: RNAcentral